This 253-nucleotide ribosomal RNA is filed under the name uncultured bacterium. Its description in RNAcentral is "partial 16S ribosomal RNA". It matches the Rfam family "Bacterial small subunit ribosomal RNA", at positions 524 to 776 of the family's 1533-position model. The record is from RNAcentral.
UACAGAGGUCUCAAGCGUUGUUCGGAUUCAUUGGGCGUAAAGGGUGCGUAGGUGGCGCCGUAAGUCAGGUGUGAAAUCUCGGGGCUUAACUCCGAAACUGCAUUUGAUACUGCGGUGCUUGAGGACUGGAGAGGAGACUGGAGUUUACGGUGUAGCAGUGAAAUGCGUAGAGAUCGUAAGGAAGACCAGUGGCGAAGGCGGGUCUCUGGACAGUUCCUGACACUGAGGCACGAAGGCCAGGGGAGCAAACGGG